RNAcentral lists this ribosomal RNA (103 nucleotides) under Penstemon procerus. RNAcentral's name for it is "partial 5.8S ribosomal RNA". It matches the Rfam family "5.8S ribosomal RNA", at positions 55 to 154 of the family's 154-position model. From Rfam's summary of the family: 5.8S ribosomal RNA (5.8S rRNA) is a component of the large subunit of the eukaryotic ribosome. It is transcribed by RNA polymerase I as part of the 45S precursor that also contains 18S and 28S rRNA. Functionally, it is thought that 5.8S rRNA may be involved in ribosome translocation. The record is from RNAcentral. Lineage: Eukaryota; Viridiplantae; Streptophyta; Magnoliopsida; Lamiales; Plantaginaceae.
AGAAUACUUGGUGUGAAUUGCAAAGUGCCGUGAACCAUGGAGUCUUUGAACGCAAGUUGCGCCCGAAGCCAUUAGGCCGAGGGCACGUCUGCCUGGGCAGUCA